CAUCAAGNNAGCUUGCNCCNUGGCUUCAGCGGGCGNCCCGGGUCAGUAAUGCCUANCNNUCUGCCUGNUAGUGGNGGAUAACGUCCGGNANCGGGCGCUAAUCCCGCAUCCGUCCUGAGGGAGAAAGUGGGGGAUCUUCGGNCCUCNCGCUAUCAGAUGAGCCUAGGUCGGAUUAGCUAGUUGGUGGGGUAAAGGCCUCCCAAGNCGACGAUCCGUAACUGGUCUGAGAGGAUGAUCAGUCACCCUGGAACUGAGACACGGUCCAGACUCCUCCCGGAGGCAGCAGUGGGGAAUAUUGGACAAUGGGCGAAAGCCUGAUCCAGCCAUGCCGCGUGUGUGAAGAAGGUCUUCGGAUUGUAAAGCACUUUAAGUUGGGAGGAAGGGCAGUAAGUUAAUCGGUUGCUGUUUUAAAAUUACCAC
This 420-nucleotide ribosomal RNA is filed under the name bacterium DM-V2. RNAcentral describes it as "partial small subunit ribosomal RNA". It matches the Rfam family "Bacterial small subunit ribosomal RNA", at positions 66 to 481 of the family's 1533-position model. The record is from RNAcentral.